AACAAAGCACACAACUGCUGAACUACACUGAAACUUAAUCAUUUAUGACCUCACAUGCCAACAGCCUCACACAUUCUGCAGCACUGAACACAGCUACUAGUCAAUGACUCACCAACAAUAGUGAUAUCAUCUUUUUCUUUCAGAUAAUAACCUUAUUUUCAUUACUUCCAAUUAAUCGAAGAAGGUCAGGCCAAAUGAAUUUCAGAGUUGGGGAGUUGAUUGACAAGGUACAUGAAUGAAUGGAAGGAAAGGGGGGCUUAUUCUGCUGGUGGAUCAACAAGAAAUUUCUAACGACGGUCACCGAUUAAUGGCUACUGCUACAUGUACACAAUUUGAAUGGAUACUUACAUGGCAAUAUUGAAUCGGAGGACAAAAGAAUGGUGUGGGCCAGUGAAAACAAUCACAGCCUUUUUCUUAUCAUUGUUCGGUAAAUUUUCCAUGUCCA
Molecule: long non-coding RNA, 445 nt
Filed under: Hordeum vulgare
Lineage: Eukaryota; Viridiplantae; Streptophyta; Magnoliopsida; Poales; Poaceae
Description: long non-coding RNA (HVUL_LNC003177)
Source: RNAcentral